This 253-nucleotide ribosomal RNA is filed under the name uncultured bacterium. RNAcentral's name for it is "partial 16S ribosomal RNA". It matches the Rfam family "Bacterial small subunit ribosomal RNA", at positions 524 to 776 of the family's 1533-position model. The record is from RNAcentral.
GACGUAGGGCGCGAGCGUUGUCCGGAUUUAUUGGGCGUAAAGAGCUCGUAGGCGGCCUGUCGCGUCAGCUGUGAAAACCCGCGGCUUAACCGUGGGCUUGCAGCUGAUACGGGCAGGCUAGAGUUCGGUAGGGGAGACUGGAAUUCCUGGUGUAGCGGUGAAAUGCGCAGAUAUCAGGAGGAACACCGGUGGCGAAGGCGGGUCUCUGGGCCGGUACUGACGCUGAGGAACGAAAGCCAGGGGAGCAAACGGG